This is a long non-coding RNA of Hypanus sabinus (Atlantic stingray), 257 nucleotides long. RefSeq lists it as uncharacterized. Lineage: Eukaryota; Metazoa; Chordata; Chondrichthyes; Myliobatiformes; Dasyatidae. The transcript is spliced from 3 exons. The record is from RefSeq and is a predicted model, not a curated record.
UAGGAAACCAAUCGAUUGGAUAAUACAGUAUUCGACGUUUCGGGCGAGACCCUUCGGCAGGACUGAAGAAACAAAAGAAGAGUAGACUUAAAAGGUGCAGCCUGACUUGCUGAAUUCCUCCAGAUUGUCUCUCUCUCUCUCACACACACACGAUUACUGUCUGCAGAUCUACAUUACAAGGAAGUGCACAACCCAGCAUGAUGCAGCACAUUCAGGAGGAAGGACAAGGAACUGAACUGAUGGCACUCCAAUGCUGG